AACGUAGGAGGCGAGCGUUAUCCGGAUUUACUGGGCGUAAAGCGCACGCAGGUGGCCUGGUAAGUUGGCUGUGAAAGCUCCUGGCUUAACUGGGAGAGGUCGGUCAAGACUGCUGGGCUUGAGGUUGGGAGAGGGGUGUGGAAUUCCCGGUGUAGUGGUGGAAUGCGUAGAUAUCGGGAGGAACACCAGUGGCGAAGGCGGCACCCUGGCCCACACCUGACGCUGAGGUGCGAAAGCGUGGGGAGCAAAC
RNAcentral lists this ribosomal RNA (250 nucleotides) under uncultured bacterium. Its description in RNAcentral is "partial 16S ribosomal RNA". It matches the Rfam family "Bacterial small subunit ribosomal RNA", at positions 524 to 773 of the family's 1533-position model. The record is from RNAcentral.